Molecule: ribosomal RNA, 305 nt
Filed under: uncultured bacterium
Lineage: Bacteria
Description: bacterial SSU rRNA
Rfam family: Bacterial small subunit ribosomal RNA
Source: RNAcentral
UGCCUACGGGGGCAGCAGUGAGGAAUAUUGGUCAAUGGGCGCGAGCCUGAACCAGCCAAGUCGCGUGAGGGAAGACGGUCCUAUGGGUUGUAAACUUCUUUUAUAAAGGAAUAAAACGAGGCACGUGUGCCUUUUUGCAUGUACUUUAUGAAUAAGGAUCGGCUAACUCCGUGCCAGCAGCCGCGGUAAUACGGAGGAUCCGAGCGUUAUCCGGAUUUAUUGGGUUUAAAGGGUGCGCAGGCGGAAGAUCAAGUCAGCGGUAAAAUUGAGAGGCUCAACCUCUUCGAGCCGUUGAAACUGGUUUU